This 594-nucleotide ribosomal RNA is filed under the name Bjerkandera adusta. RNAcentral's name for it is "eukaryotic LSU rRNA". The stretch from base 197 to 350 matches the Rfam family "5.8S ribosomal RNA". The record is from RNAcentral. Lineage: Eukaryota; Fungi; Basidiomycota; Agaricomycetes; Polyporales; Phanerochaetaceae.
GGGCUUUCGAGCUUGACGGGUUGUCUGCUGGCUCGCAGGGCAUGUGCACGCCUGUCUCAUCCACUCUCAACUUCUGUGCACUUUUCAUAGGCCGGCUUGUGGGUGCGUUCGCGCACUUGUAGGUGUCGGGCUUAUGCUUUAUUACAAACGAUUCAGUUUUAGAAUGUCAUACUUUGCUAUAACGCAAUUUAUAUACAACUUUCAGCAACGGAUCUCUUGGCUCUCGCAUCGAUGAAGAACGCAGCGAAAUGCGAUAAGUAAUGUGAAUUGCAGAAUUCAGUGAAUCAUCGAAUCUUUGAACGCACCUUGCGCUCCUUGGUAUUCCGAGGAGCAUGCCUGUUUGAGUCUCAUGGAAUUCUCAACCUUCGGCUUCAUUGACGAAGGCUUGGACUUGGAGGUCGUGCCGGCUCUCGUAGUCGGCUCCUCUGAAAUGCAUUAGUGCGAACGUUACCGACCGCUUCAGCGUGAUAAUUAUCUGCGUUGCUGUGGAGGGUAUUCUAGUGUUCACGCUUCUAACCGUCUUCGGACAAAUUUCUGAACUCUGAGCUCAAAUCAGGUAGGACUACCCGCUGAACUUAAGCAUAUCAUAGGCGG